AUCGAUGAAGAACGCAGCGAAAUGCGAUAAGUAAUGUGAAUUGCAGAAUUCAGUGAAUCAUCGAAUCUUUGAACGCACAUUGCGCCCCUUGGUAUUCCGAGGGGCAUGCCUGUUCGAGCGUCAUUACACCACUCAAGCACUGCUUGGUAUUGGGCACUCGUCCGUCGAAAGACGGGCGUGCCUCGAAGACCUCGGCGGGGUUUCUCCAACUUCGGGCGUAGUAGAGUUAAAUCAAAACGUCUUAUAAGCUUGGUGAGAUCUCAUUGCCGUUAAACCUUUUUUUUUCAGGUUGACCUCGGAUCAGGUAGGGAUACCCGCUGAACUUAAGCAUAUCAAUAAGCGGAGGAAAAGAAACCAACAGGGAUUGCCCUAGUAACGGCGAGUGAAGCGGCAAUAGCUCAAAUUUGAAAGCUGGCCUUUGGUCCGCAUUGUAAUUUGUAGAGGAUGCUUUUAGGCAGCCGCCGGUCUAAGUUCCUUGGAACAGGACGUCAUAGAGGGUGAGAAUCCCGUAUGUGACCGGCUCUGGCACCUUAUGUAAAGCUCCUUCGACGAGUCGAGUUGUUUGGGAAUGCAGCUCUAAAUGGGAGGUAAAUUUCUUCUAAAGCUAAAUACUGGCGAGAGACCGAUAGCGCACAAGUAGAGUGAUCGAAAGAUGAAAAGCACUUUGGAAAGAGAGUUAAAAAGCACGUGAAAUUGUUGAAAGGGAAGCGCUUGCAAUCAGACUUGGACUUGGCUGUUCAACCGGUCUUCUGACCGGCCUACUCAGUCUUGUCCAGGCCAGCAUCAGUUUCGGCGGCCGGAUAAAGGCCCUGGGAAUGUGGCUGUCUCUUCGGAGGCAGUGUUAUAGCCCAGGGUGUAAUACGGCCAGCUGGGACUGAGGUCCGCGCUUCGGCUAGGAUGCUGGCGUAAUGGUUGUAAGCGGCCCGUCUUGAAACACGG
This 939-nucleotide ribosomal RNA is filed under the name uncultured Ascomycota. RNAcentral describes it as "eukaryotic LSU rRNA". The stretch from base 291 to 939 matches the Rfam family "Eukaryotic large subunit ribosomal RNA", at positions 1 to 664 of the family's 3401-position model. Lineage: Eukaryota; Fungi; Ascomycota. The record is from RNAcentral.